ACGUAGGUGGCAAGCGUUGUCCGGAAUUACUGGGUGUAAAGGGAGCGCAGGCGGGCUUGUAAGUUGGAUGUUUAAUGGAGGGGCUCAACCCCUUCUCGCAUUCAAAACUGCAAGUCUUGAGUGGUGCAGAGGCAGGCGGAAUUCCCGGUGUAGCGGUGGAAUGCGUAGAUAUCGGGAGGAACACCAGUGGCGAAGGCGGCCUGCUGGGCACUAACUGACGCUGAGGCUCGAAAGCAUGGGUAGCAAACAGG
Molecule: ribosomal RNA, 251 nt
Filed under: uncultured bacterium
Lineage: Bacteria
Description: partial 16S ribosomal RNA
Rfam family: Bacterial small subunit ribosomal RNA
Source: RNAcentral